This 149-nucleotide non-coding RNA is filed under the name Gorilla gorilla gorilla (western lowland gorilla). The record is from Rfam by way of RNAcentral. Lineage: Eukaryota; Metazoa; Chordata; Mammalia; Primates; Hominidae.
GCUGGGCAUGGUGGCACAUGCCUGUAAUCCCAACUACUUGGGAGGCUGAGACAGGAGAAUUGCUUGAACCUGGGAAGGCGGAGGUUGCAGUGAGCCGAGAUGGUGCCACUGCAUUCCAUCCUGGGUGACAGAGCAAGACUCUGUCUCAA